Molecule: ribosomal RNA, 747 nt
Filed under: uncultured bacterium
Lineage: Bacteria
Description: bacterial SSU rRNA
Rfam family: Bacterial small subunit ribosomal RNA
Source: RNAcentral
UUUAAUAAGUCAGUGGUCAAAACCUGAGGCUUAACUUCAGGAUUGCUGUUGAUACUGUUAAACUUGAGGCUGGGAAGGGCAAGCGGAACUAUCGGUGUAGUCGUAAUAAGCGCUGAUAUCGAUAGGAACACCAAAAGCGAAGGCAGCUUGCUAGAACAUGCCUGACACUCAUGGACGAAAGCGUGGGUAGCGAAUGGGAUUAGAUACCCCAGUAGUCCACGCCCUAAACGAUGCACACUAGGUAUUGGGAGUAUCGACCCUCUCAGUGCCGUUGAAAAAAGCUAACGCGUUAAGUGUGCCGCCUGGGGAGUACGAUCGCAAGGUUAAAACUCAAAGGAAUAGACGGGGACCUGCACAAGUGGUGGAUCAUGUGGUUUAAUUCGAUGAUACGCGGCGAACCUUACCUGGAUUUGACAUAUAACUGCAAUCCCGAUGAAAAUCGGGACGCCUUCGAGGGUGUUAUACAGAUGCUGCAUGGUUGCCGUCAGCUCGUGCCGUGAGGUGUACCGUUAAGUCGGGUAACGAGCGAAACCCCUAUACUGCGUUAAAUGUACACAGUAGACUGCCUAGGUAACUAGGAGGAAGGUGGGGACGACGUCAAAUCAGCAUGGCUCUUACGUCCAGGGCUACACACAUGAUACAAUGGCCAGUACAAAAGGUAGCAAAGCCGUGAGGUGAAGCUAAUCCUAAAAAACUGGUCUCAGUUCGGAUUGUAGGCUGAAAUUCGCCUGCAUGAAGUUGGAAUCG